Molecule: ribosomal RNA, 305 nt
Filed under: uncultured bacterium
Lineage: Bacteria
Description: bacterial SSU rRNA
Rfam family: Bacterial small subunit ribosomal RNA
Source: RNAcentral
UUACCUACGGGAGGCAGCAGUGGGGAAUAUUGGGCAAUGGGCGCAAGCCUGACCCAGCAACGCCGCGUGAAGGAAGAAGGCUUUCGGGUUGUAAACUUCUUUUAAGAGGGAAGAGAAGAAGACGGUACCUCUUGAAUAAGCCACGGCUAACUACGUGCCAGCAGCCGCGGUAAUACGUAGGUGGCAAGCGUUGUCCGGAAUUACUGGGUGUAAAGGGAGCGCAGGCGGAUUGACAAGUUGGGAGUGAAAACUACGGGCUCAACCCGUAACCUGCUUUCAAAACUGUCAGUCUUGAGUGGUGUAGG